This is a non-coding RNA of Phascolarctos cinereus (koala), 616 nucleotides long. The record is from RefSeq and is a predicted model, not a curated record. Lineage: Eukaryota; Metazoa; Chordata; Mammalia; Diprotodontia; Phascolarctidae.
UUCAGAACUGCAGAUAGUACAGCUUUCACAGAAGCAAUGGGAUGUCUGAGCACAAGUGGCUGACUUGGGAGUGACUUUAUGAAGCACUUUUCUGCCUUCCUUAGUCAGAAAAAAAAAAACUGGAAUUCUGCACCUGCAUCAGAAAAGGACCAGACUAAUUCUGCCACCCAAUAGCAAGAAAUUCACACAGCUAGCCGGUCUGAAAUUCUUUGUUUAGGAAUCAUAAUAAAUAUUCCAACCAGAAGACAAAGUUAGCUGAAGACACUUUGACCCAUGCCUGUCACACAGAAGCCGUUGAAGUAUUGUGAGAUCUCCAAGGUUCAGCUGUGCUGAAAAUCAGAAAAUGACUCAGGGAACAAAUGGAAAAGAGAUUCCCUGUGGAUGGUGAAGCCCUCAAGAUGCUGCUGUUUGCAGAUGGUACUGUGCUGAUCACAUCAAGAUAAUGUUGAGAGUCUAUUUACACAAGAGCCUUGAUUCUGCACUCCUCACUCAUGGAAAGCCACUGGAAUAAAUGGAGCCUUGCUUACUUAGAACAACUGGGGCUUUCCAAACAAUCCCAGAAAGAAGAUAUUGAUGAUGUGCUCGUUGUGAGUAGAGCAUUGGAAAACCCUCUUGA